RNA transcript from Mus musculus (house mouse), 5778 nucleotides. It is a transcript of the gene named ankyrin repeat domain 42, with no coding region annotated. Lineage: Eukaryota; Metazoa; Chordata; Mammalia; Rodentia; Muridae. The transcript is spliced from 8 exons. The record is from RefSeq and is marked validated.
ACUCGUUUCCAAGGUGACGGCCACGCCGCCACGCCCUCCAGGCUGCGGGAACUGAGACGCUGGAAAACGACUCGGAGGAGAGCGUUCCCGCCGACGGCGGUCGCCGUCACAACCACCCGCGGGCCCAGGAAACCGGAGACUGUGGUCUCCGCGCCAGGCGCCGCGCAUGUGCUAUCCGCGGCCCGCACGGCUACCUCGGCUCCGGGUCUAGGGGGAAGGUCGUGGGAGAGCAGGCAUCCUGUUGCCACAAUCCUAGAGAAAGAAACCGAGAAGGAGGGGACCGCCUCACCAGGAUCUCUUUGGCAGGAGUUGGUGAGGACGGCGGCUUUUCCCGAAGGGACUCGAGAAGAGCCAGUGAAGACCUAGGGCAGCACCGCUGCGUCUCUCAGGAGAGAAUUAGGGAACAGCAUGGCCACCAGCAGAGCAGUCCACGGGUGGCUGUGAGGGGCGACAGCGGCCAAUGCAAGAGCGACGCGAGCUUAGGUGAAGUCGCUGGCUCGCAUUCCUGCGACUCGAGGGCCGCCGUCAGCGAAGACGCCUGGGUGGACGUCCUUAAAACCCGAGGGCCCCGAACCAGUGAUUCCGGGGCCCAAGGUAGCGACGACCGCAGCGGUUCUUGGGAAGGAGCAAGUGUGGAUGGAAGCCGCUGCCUCAGUAGUCCUUGGGAAGGAGUAAGUGAUGACAGGGCCUACGAGGCCAGAGACUCCUCUAGGGUGAGCAUCAGCGAAGACUCCAGCCGCCUCUUCCGUAGCUGCUGGGAGAGAGAAAGCGAAGAAGAUUCCUGCUUUAGGGGCUCUUGGGAGAGAAGGGAGGUUUGUGGUCCCCGCACCAGCGACGAAGAGUCCAGUUCUUGCAGCAGUGGUCCAUGCGGGGGAUCAAGUGAAGACCUCAGCAGCAGGGACCUGGGCUCCACUCCUCCCCAGAGUCCAAGACCGAGGUCGAAGGACAACACCAUGCCUGGUGUGGCUAAUCCAGGCCCCUCCAAGUCCCGUAGGGAGACUGCAGACUCAAGUUCCAGGAAGAAGGUACAUUUCAGUAGCAUACAUGAUGCGGUCCGGGCUGGAGAUGUCAAGCAGCUGUCAGACAUAGUGGAGCGUGGUGCCAACCUUAAUGAAGUGGAUGCUCUCCAUCAGUUUACUCCUUUACAUUGGGCAGCACAUUCUGGAAGUUUAGAGUGCCUUCACUGGCUACUCUGGAGUGGUGCUGAUGCCACACAGACAACUACAAGGGGAUGGACAGCGGCUCACAUAGCUGCAAUCCGGGGUCAGGAUGCCUGCUUACAGGCUCUUAUAAUCAAUGGAGCCAACCUAGCAACUCAAGAUGAUCGUGGAUGCACCCCACUACACCUUGCUGCUACUCAUGGACACUCUUUUUCUUUACAAAUAAUGCUGCGAAGUGGAGUGUUCAUUUAGCAGCCAUGGAAGGCCACCUCCAUUGUUUGAAAUUCCUACUGAGUAGAAUGAACAGUGCAACACAAGCCUUAAAAGCCUUCAAUGAUAAUGGAGAAAAUGUAUUGGACCUGGCCCAGCGGUUUUUGAAACAGAAUGUUGUAGAGUUUAUUCAGGGGGCUCAGUAUGAAGGAAGCCAUCCAGAUGAUCAUGAUGAUUUAGCCUUUCCAGGUCAUGUGGCUGCCUUUAAGGGUGACUUAGAAGUGCUUAAGAAACUGAUAGGAGACGGGGUAAUCAAUCUGAAUGAACGCGAUGAUAAUGGAUCAACUCCCAUGCAUAAAGCUGCUGGACAGGGCCACAUUGAUUGUUUGCAGUGGUUAAUUGAAAUGGGAGCCGAAAGCAAUAUUACCAACAAAGCAGGAGAGACCCCCAGUGAUGUGGCUAAGAGGUCUCCUCUUUAAAGCAAUCAUUCUCAGCUGGAAGAUGAUAUUAGAUGAUAGUAUUAGUUCUCUUUCCUUUGGGGAAGACAUUUCAAAAUGAGAACAAAGUCCAUAACAGUGAGCAUCGACCCCAUGAUGCCAGGUACAGGAGUCCUCAGUGCUCUGCAGUGAUCUAACUAGUGCGGCCAAUGCUUGUUUCACCCAGAUAGCCUUGAUGCCUUGCCGAGAAACUGGUCAAAAGGAAUAACAACAGUGAUAAAGAGGAGUAGUACUAAGGGAUUGAAUCAUAGUUAGGAAUUCACAGGGGAGCUAAAUGCAGCCUCUGUUACAGAACUCUGUGAGCUCAUACAGGUCAGGCCCACCUCUGUGCUCCUUUGGUUGUUGUUUCUUCAGUGUCUUGUCUAGUUCCUGUGGUUUAGGCACUGUGGCCACAGUCAGACGGUAAAGGUGGGCAGCACAGUGCCUGCAGUCAUGGAAGCCCUAGAAGCUUUACUUCAAAGGAAAGCAGAUGGACAAACCAAGCUUCGUCAUUAUAACCAUUGCCUCACCCACAUCACAUGGUGCACAUGAGUGAGGAAAACUGCCAGCUCUUCCUGCCUCUCAAUGGUAUGGCUUUGGAAACAGCACAGAUGAGAGUAAACGAUGAAAAAGAGACUGCAGAGGGAUAAGACUUAGACUGCUGUCAAGAAAACCAUUUAUAUUUUUUGAAGCAGCAGCAUUUAUAUUGACACUUGCUGGAGGAUUUGCAGCAUAACAUUGUGUAUUCUGAUCAUUCAGAACUGCUUGAAUUUAUACCAUGAGUAUGGGCUACAGUGGCAGGUGAGGCUUGACCUGCUGUUUGGUUGGGCCCAACAACUACUUAACUUAUAUGUAGCUCAGGCUGCCCUUCAACUUGCAGUCCUGUCUCAGCCUCCCUGGGCUGGGAUUAGAGGUUUGUGCCACUCUACCUCAUUGGAUUGUUUUGUUGCUGUUGGUUUUAAAGGGUUCUUUAUAUAUUCUAGAUACUAGUUCUUUCUCAGAAAACAUCCUUUACAAAGAAUAGUUUUCUCUCAGUGGUGGGAUUUUUUUCAUACUCUUAAAAUAUCUUUGGAGAUGAGUCAGUUUUGUAAAGUUUUCAUUUUCUGAAGUAUGCAUUUGAUGGUAAAUCUUGAAAAUCUUUGUGACUUUGUAUUCUAUGUUUUCUUCAAGAAGUUGUAUAAUUGUAGCCUGCAAGGGCUACGGUUCAUUGUGCAUUCUUUUUAAAGUAUAUUGUACUAGGUAUGCAUGUGAGUUCAUUCUUUUGCAUAUGGAUAUCAAUUUAGAACUAUUUGUUUGUCACUGCCUUUGUGAUUUGUCAAAACUCUACUUGCUGGUUUGAAACAGGGUCUCUCUCCAAAGUCCAGGCUGGCUUUAAAUUACCAAAUAGUCCAAACUGACCUCAAAGCUGUAAUCCUCCCACUGCCUCAGCUUCCCAAGUGCUGAGAUCGUAGGCAUAUGCCACCAUCUAGCUAAUACUUAAAUAUAGUAAAAUACAAAAAUGGAAAUAAGAACUACAUCUCCAAGUAGAAUAAAAAAGGGUAGCUAAGAUAACUUACAGGGUAAAUUAGGAUAUUAAAAAUUAAUUCAGGCCCUGGCAUUCCCCUGUACUGGGGCAUAUGAUCUUCACAAGUAUAGGGGGCUUUGGGGAUAGCAUUUGAAAUGUAAAUGAAGAAAAUAUCUAAUAAAAAAUAAAAAGAAUAUGAUAGUUUCCAAAAAAAGUAUUAAUAAAAUUCAAGAAAUAAAUUUCAAAAGAAAUUAAUUCAGGUAAAAUAUUAAUAAAAUGAGGAAUGGGAGUAGGGGAAACAGCAGGAAGAUUGGCAAGAGAGGAAAGGGCUGUAGAACUAAGGUAUGAGAAAUAAUAGGAAAAAGAAAGUUAGGAGGAAAAAAAGCAAUUCAAAACAAGAGGGGCAUAAUAGUGUGUGCCAGCAUUCUAAAGGCAGGGGUGGGCAGAUCUCUGUAGAGUUCCAGGCCAGCUAGGGCUACACAGCAAGAUAAGUCUCAAAACAGAAAGACAAAUGGAAACCAACCCAAACAGCCAUCAUUAGUUCUCCCCCACCCCAAGCAGAUGGGGGAUUUGAUGUCUUUCCCUCCACCCUGCUUCUUUUGACAUGUCCUGGAGUUGGGGAAGUAGGCAGCAAGUUGUUUUUCUCUCUAUUUCAAACAGGCUGUACCUGAAAGAACUGUGGAGGCUGGGCCCUUGUGAGCCUUACUGAGCCAGGCAAGAGCUAGGACAGUGACCACCAUGCCUGUCAUCUCUGUGUGUGAACUUGGCGCUGCAGCAAGCCCAGGUGUGGUGCUCCCAUGUACCUGCGCAGGUCCCCUCCUACAUGGGAACACCAAAGCUUUGGCGUAUCUCCAUCUUUGUCUCUGGGGAUCCUGAGUGGAGAGGUGGUCAAACCCACAGUCUGUACCAAGGGCAUGGCGCAUGAGCACUGCGGAAUCCUCUGUGCUCUAGCAACGCUGGCCUCUGUUCCAGCCCUGCUUAUAGCCACCCAUGGCUAGUUUUCACUUACCUUCUCAGAGGUCAGGCUACCAUUGCCAAACAGAAGUUUCUCUGCUUCCCUCUGCGUGCAUCUCCCAGCCUUGGAGAUCUGUAUCAGUAAAUCUGUGUUCAAAUCACAGCCAGUUUCUUAGGCCCACAUUGACUCUUGCAGCAAGCACUUGCAGAGCUAGUGAAAAAGAGAGGCCACUAGCACUUGAAGGUAUGAAGGUAUAGGGCCCCUAGUUCUUCAAGCCUGAGGUUCCAUGGUGGCAUCUCUCUUUCUCUCUCUUUUAAAAAAAAAGGAUAUAUAUAUAUAUAUAUAUAUAUAUAUAUAUAUAUAUAUAAAAUUAUUCCAUUCGUUUAUAUUUCAAAUAGUACCCUCUUUCAUGGUUAUCCCUCCACAACUCCCCCACCCCACAUCCACCCUCUCCCCUCUCCCCUUUACCUCUUUACCCACACUAACUCCCACCCCAGUGCUCCAGCAUCCUCCUAGCCUGGAGUACCAAACCUUUACAGGACCAAGGGCCUCCCUUCCCAUUGAUGUCAGACAAGGCCAUUCUUUGCUACAUAUGUAUGUGGAGCCAUGGAUCCCUCCCUGUACACCCCUUUGUUGUUGGUCUAGGUCCUGGGAGCAUGGGGUGGUCUGGCCAGCCAACAUUGUUCUUCCUAUGGGGUUGCAAUUCCCCUUAUCUCCUCCAGUCCUUCUGCCAGCUCCCCGCACUGGGGCCCUGAGCUCAGUCUGAUGGUAGCUCCAAGCAUCAGCAUCUGCAUUGGUGAGGUGCUGGCAGAACCUCCCAGGGAACAGGAUGGCAUCUCUCUUAAGAUGGUUGCUCAGCAUAGCACACUGAGCAAACUAGCAAGUGCUGGGCCUUUUCCUGUGCCUGUCUACUUACAGAUCCAGAUCUGCUGUCUUAAACCAAGUUUGCACAGUGCUAGAUUGUGCACCUGUGGCUCUUUCCCAGGUUCUCUCCUCUCCUUUUCUAAAAGCGGAAUUUUCUUUCUUGUCUCAUGCUGUGCUGCCUAGAGGUCACUACAGAGGUACUAGUAGUGCAGUACUGGUAGUACUGCAGUUCUUUGCUUCUUUCGUAAUUUAAGGUACAGUAUGUCUGGAUUUGACCUGGUCACUAUCUGUUGCACAUGCCUGUACUUACACACCCAAAGUUCUUUUUUCAAUCUUGUGAAAAUAUAGGAAUAUUCUGGCUGUCUCCAGUCUACCACAGCCCCUGCUGUCUUUCUUUGUCAGUCUGACAACUCUGUAUAACUUUAUUACUAAAUCUUGUGUUUGUUCUUGUGGUGCUGGGAAUCAAACCUGGGUACUUGUACAUACUAGGCAAGUACUGUACAACCAAGCUGCAAACCCAGCUCUAUUGACAGCUCUUUAAUAAUUUACUUGCUGUAACUGAUAAAAAAAUAAGAAUGUAUGUAUGUAUAAAUGUGUAUUCUAAGAAAA